GUCUCUUCGGGGAUGAUUAAACCGGCGCACGGGUGGGUAACACGUGAGUGACCUGCCUUUUAGACUGUAACAACUUACCGAAAGGUGAGCUAAUGCCGGAUGAGUUAUAUAAGUGCAUGUUUAUAUAGGAAAAGUUGGGGAGACCUGACGCUGAAAGAUGGACUCGCGUCCCAUUAGCUAGUUGGUAGGGUAAUGGCCUACCAAGGCGACGAUGGGUAGCCGGCCUGAGAGGGUGGCCGGCCACACUGGGACUGAGACACGGCCCAGACUCCUACGGGAGGCAGCAGUGGGGAAUUUUGCGCAAUGCUCGUAAGAGUGACGCAGCGACGCCGCGUGAAUGACGAAGGCCUUCGGGUCGUAAAGUUCUUUCGACAGGGAAGAAAAUGCCUAUAAGUAACUGUGUAUGUAUUGACGGUACCUGUAUAAGCAGCCCCGGCUAACUCCGUGCCAGCAGCCGCGGUAAUACGGAGGGGGCGAGCGUUGUUCGGAGUGACUGGGCGUAAAGAGCACGUAGGCGGUGUUGUAAGUCAUUAGUCAAAGACUAGAGCUCAACUUUAGUAAGGCUAGUGAUACUAUAAUACUAGAGUAUCAGAGAGGAUUGCAGAAUUCCUGGUGUAGCGGUGAAAUGCGUAGAUAUCAGGAGGAAUACCGUUAGCGAAGGCGGCAAUCUGGCUGGAAACUGACGCUGAGGUGCGAAAGCGUGGGUAGCAAACAGGAUUAGAUACCCUGGUAGUCCACGCUGUAAACGAUGGAUG
This 755-nucleotide ribosomal RNA is filed under the name uncultured bacterium. Its description in RNAcentral is "bacterial SSU rRNA". It matches the Rfam family "Bacterial small subunit ribosomal RNA", at positions 74 to 815 of the family's 1533-position model. The record is from RNAcentral.